Molecule: non-coding RNA, 104 nt
Organism: Acanthosepion pharaonis
Lineage: Eukaryota; Metazoa; Mollusca; Cephalopoda; Sepiida; Sepiidae
Source: the annotation of a GenBank genome assembly
UUAUGGCCAUAUCAUGAUGAAACACCAGUUCCCAUGUGAUCACCAAGGUUAAAAAACAUUGAGCCUGAUCAGUACCUAGAUGGGUGACCACUCUGUAUUACCAG